Molecule: non-coding RNA, 115 nt
Organism: Triticum aestivum (bread wheat)
Lineage: Eukaryota; Viridiplantae; Streptophyta; Magnoliopsida; Poales; Poaceae
Source: Rfam
CUUAUACUCACUUCGUUCCGAAUUACUUGUCGCACAUUUGGAUGUAUCUAGAUGUAUUAUAGUUCUAGAUACAUCCAUUUCAGGGACGAGUAAUUUAGAACGGAGGGAGUAGGAA